CCUACGGGGGGCAGCAGUGGGGGAUAUUGCACAAUGGGGGAAACCCUGAUGCAGCGACGCCGCGUGUGGGAAGACGGUCCUCUGGAUUGUAAACCACUGUCCCCAGGGACGAAGAUGACGGUACCUGGGGAGGAAGCGCCGGCUAACUACGUGCCAGCAGCCGCGGUAAUACGUAGGGAGCGAGCGUUGUCCGGAAUUACUGGGUGUAACGGGAGCGUAGGCGGGACUGCAAGUUGGGUGUCAAAUCUACCGGCUCAACCGGUAGCCGCACUCAAAACUGCAGUUCUUGAGUGAAGUAGAGGCAGGCGGAAUUCCUAUUGUAGCUGUGAAAUGCGUAGAUAUUAGGAGGAACCCCAGUGGCGACGGCGGCCUGCUGGGCUUUUACUGACGCUGAGGCUCGAACGUGUGGGGAGCAAACAGGAUUAGAUACCCUUGUAGUC
RNAcentral lists this ribosomal RNA (440 nucleotides) under uncultured bacterium. Its description in RNAcentral is "partial 16S ribosomal RNA". It matches the Rfam family "Bacterial small subunit ribosomal RNA", at positions 338 to 795 of the family's 1533-position model. The record is from RNAcentral.